RNAcentral lists this ribosomal RNA (460 nucleotides) under uncultured bacterium. Its description in RNAcentral is "partial 16S ribosomal RNA". It matches the Rfam family "Bacterial small subunit ribosomal RNA", at positions 338 to 795 of the family's 1533-position model. The record is from RNAcentral.
CCUACGGGUGGCAGCAGUGAGGAAUAUUGGUCAAUGGGCGAGAGCCUGAACCAGCCAAGUAGCGUGAAGGAUGACUGCCCUACGGGUUGUAAACUUCUUUUAUAAAGGAAUAAAGUGAGGCACGUGUGCCUUUUUGUAUGUACUUUAUGAAUAAGGAUCGGCUAACUCCGCGCCAGCAGCAGCGGUAAUACGGAGGAUCCGAGCGUUAUCCGGAUUUAUUGGGUUGAAAGGGAGCGUAGAUGGGUUGUUAAGUCAGUUGUGAAAGUUUGGGGCUCAACCGUAAAAUUGCAAUUGAUACUGGCAGCCUUGAGUGCAGUAGAGGUAGGCGGAAUUCGUGGUGUAGCGGUGAAAUGCUUAGAUAUCACGAAGAACUCCGAUUGCGAAGGCAGCUUACUAAACUGCCACUGACAUUGAUGCUCGAAAGUGUGGGUAGCAAACAGGAUUAGAUACCCGAGUAGUC